UCUUAUAUGAUUGGGACUUAGUGACAGAAUAUGCUACGUGAACUCUAAAACUAUUAAAGUAGACUUGGAUUAGAAUAGUAAAUAAUGGCAUCUUUACUAUUUUGCAUUGAGGACAUCGGAUUGGUUGCAUUUCUAUGCUGAUGCAUGUCAUACACAUCCAUGUACAUUCAUGAUAUCGUUGCUUCAUUACUCGUGCAAAUCAUGCUAAAUAGAAAGUAUAUGUCAUUGUAAGGUACCGGACUUCUAAAAUCAUGAGGUUACGGUGUCCAUUUGGUUGGAGAGCCAUUUGAAUGGUUCCGGUAAGGUUGCGGUGUAAUGUAAUAUACCGAAUUUAAAUAUAAAAAUAGAAAUAAAUAAAAAUAGUAUGAGAUACUAUUUUUAUUGGAUUUAGAGAAGUGAAAUAUAGGUUGGGAAUAACCUGUGCUGAAAUCGGAGCGAAAACAGAAGAUUUAGAAUUUUCUGUAAGAAACGGGGCAGAUAAAUAAGCAGAAACUGCACAGUGUCAGAAAAUUAUGAAAAUUGGCAGAGAUGUCAGAAAUAUUUUUAUGAGGCUAGAUUUAAGGUUUCAUAUUUUUCUGACACCCGUAGAGUGAGAAAUAAAAUCCGAAAGCUAUCUGAUAAAGAUUGCAGUUCGGUACAGUUUUCAGUGACCAAACGGGGUCGAAACUGAACCAGUGAUCGUCAGCUUGUUAAGUUAAGUAAAACCGAACAUGACUGUCAAGUUUGAGCUCAAACGGACAUUCAGGGAGCUCCGGCGAAAGAUAUCAGAUUUCGAGUUGCCGGGAAGUGAAUAGUGUAUAGUUGAGGGGCUGAAUUGUAAAAUGGGAUUAAAUCCCUUUUCUUCUUCUUCCUCCCAGCCGCACACCACACACGAUACAUACACUCACACACGCAUGGAAGGGAGAGAGAGAA
This 912-nucleotide long non-coding RNA is filed under the name Ananas comosus (pineapple). Its description in RNAcentral is "long non-coding RNA (ACOM_LNC039873)". Lineage: Eukaryota; Viridiplantae; Streptophyta; Magnoliopsida; Poales; Bromeliaceae. The record is from RNAcentral.